Molecule: ribosomal RNA, 763 nt
Filed under: Pelagodinium bei
Lineage: Eukaryota; Dinophyceae; Suessiales; Suessiaceae
Description: eukaryotic LSU rRNA
Rfam family: 5.8S ribosomal RNA (bases 356-510)
Source: RNAcentral
AUAACUCGGACUGAUGCAUUUUUCAGCUUCUGGAAGUUGCAUCGGAAAGUUUAGUGAACCUUAUCACUUAGAGGAAGGAGAAGUCGUAACAAGGUUUCCGUAGGUGAACCUGCGGAAGGAUCAUUCGCACUAUCCAAUCAAUCAACGUGAACUCCUGUCGUGAGUGACUGGGUGGAGAUGGCUGGCUCGGCUGAUCUUUUUGGCUGGGUCACUUCCUCUGCUCAGGAGCUCGAGGGUGGCAGGGCACUCCUGCGGCCUCCGGGUCCCGGGUGUGUUCCUGUUGCCAGCUUCUUGACUGAUUUAAUAGUCUCUUCUUACUUGUUGCAGCGCAACUUCUAUGAGUUUUACUCAUUACAACUUUCAGCGACGGAUAUCUCGGCUCAAGCACCGAUGAAGGGCGCAGCGAAGUGUGAUAAUCAUUGUGAAUUGCAGAAUUCCGUGAACCAAUGGAUCUUUGAACGUGCAUUGCACUCUCGGGAUAUCCCUGGGAGUAUGCCUGCUUCAGUGCUUGUGGAAUCCUCAUGCAGGUGCUUGUCCAUCUUGGAUGUGCCUGCGUCUUUGUGUGCCAUGGCUCUGUCUUCUGGGCGGAGUUAGUGGCGCAUUCAGGGUUAGCGAUUGCUCUGGCAUCUGCAACUUGUGAAGUACACUCCUGUGCAUCUGCUGGUUGUGUUGCCUCAAAGAGCUUUCUGACAUAGCUUCGGCUAUCUCCUGCACAGCAUGAAGUCAGGUCAGCAAACCCGCUGAAUUUAAGCAUAUAAGUAAG